This 467-nucleotide ribosomal RNA is filed under the name uncultured bacterium. Its description in RNAcentral is "partial 16S ribosomal RNA". It matches the Rfam family "Bacterial small subunit ribosomal RNA", at positions 28 to 507 of the family's 1533-position model. The record is from RNAcentral.
GAUGAACGCUGACAGAAUGCUUAACACAUGCAAGUCAACUUGAAUUUGGGUUUUUAACUUAGGUUUGGGUGGCGGACGGGUGAGUAACGCGUAAAGAACUUGCCUCACAGCUAGGGACAACAUUUGGAAACGAAUGCUAAUACCUAAUAUUAUGAUAAUAGGGCAUCCUAUAAUUAUGAAAGCUAUAAGCGCUGUGAGAGAGCUUUGCGUCCCAUUAGCUAGUUGGAGAGGUAACGGCUCACCAAGGCGAUGAUGGGUAGCCGGCCUGAGAGGGUGAUCGGCCACAAGGGGAUUGAGUCACGGCCCUUACUCCUACGGGAGGCAGCAGUGGGGAAUAUUGGACAAUGGACCGAGAGUCUGAUCCAGCAACUCUGUGUGCACGAGGAAGUUUUUCGGAAUGUAAAGUGCUUUCAGUUGGGAAGAAACAAAUGACGGUACCAACAGAAGAAGUGACGGCUAAAUACGUG